Molecule: ribosomal RNA, 407 nt
Filed under: uncultured bacterium
Lineage: Bacteria
Description: bacterial SSU rRNA
Rfam family: Bacterial small subunit ribosomal RNA
Source: RNAcentral
UAAGAGGGGGGAUAACAUCCGGAAACGGGUGCUAAUACCGCAUAGUUUUCUUGAUCGCAUGAUCGGGAAAGGAAAGACGGCCUUUGUGCUGUCGCUUAUGGAUGGACCCGCGGCGUAUUAGUUAGUUGGUGAGGUAACGGCUCACCAAGACGAUGAUACGUAGCCGACCUGAGAGGGUGAUCGGCCACAUUGGGACUGAGACACGGCCCAAACUCCUACGGGAGGCAGCAGUAGGGAAUCUUCCGCAAAUGGACGAAAGGUCUGACGGAGCAACGCCGCGUGAGUGAAGAAAAGGUUUUUCGGAUCGUAAAACUCUGUUGUCAGAGAAGAACAAGUUGGAGAGUAACUGCUCCAGCCUUGACGGUAUCUGACCAGAAAGCCACGGCUAACUACGUGCCAGCCGCAGC